RNAcentral lists this unclassified non-coding RNA (374 nucleotides) under Hevea brasiliensis (rubber tree). The record is from RNAcentral. Lineage: Eukaryota; Viridiplantae; Streptophyta; Magnoliopsida; Malpighiales; Euphorbiaceae.
ACCUCAUAUCCAUAAACCCUUGAAAAGAAUAUAUCUUUCUUUACCCAAAACCAAAUUAAGAUGGUGCAAAAAAAAGUCCUCAACAAACUUAGUAUCAAAACUGAUCAUAUUAUAAAAGCCAACAACCAAAUAAUGAACCACAAACCAUCUUUCCCUAUGUUACAAAACCAUGAAACCAUCAAGAAUAGAAAAGCUGAACUCAAGAAAAAGAUGAUGAAGAAAUCAGGCAAAACCAAACUCUUAGAAUAUGAAAUCUCCAACUCACCAAAAAAUUUCAGAAAAUAUGUACCUCAACCAGGCAAACCACCCCCUAGUACUACUAACUCAUCAACGACACCAACGAAGCGUCAGCAUCAGCAACAGCAACAGCAACA